AUAGAGAAAGGUAGUUCCAUUCCAUUGUUGUUCAAGUGAGGACGCGAAGAGAUCGAUCGGUGGCUCCAUUCCAUCAUUGUUCGAUUGAGGACGCGAAGAGAUAGAUUGGUCGCCCGUUCUAUCGUUGUUCAACAGCAUACAAGCAUUUUCCGAUUCAGGAAAGCUCCAUGCCAGCUUCAAUCGCUUGAGGAUGCUCCAUAUAUCAAUCGAUGAGAGAGGGGAAAUUUUGUUUGACCAAGAGAAGAUAUGUUGACAGCAGCACAGGUAGUCUUCUAAGGCCAUAAUGUAAGUAUACUCUGACAUAAUUGUCUCCCCUCAGCCCCCUUCCCAUUGAUGACUUCAAAUUUUGAUUAUGGAGUUUAGUUUUUGGGAACAUUUUUUUGUGGAAAUAUGCUACUACUGUGCUCAUGUCUAACUUCUAUGUGCAUGAAGGACAAACAAAGACAAAACAAAUUGUUGGUACAGGAAAAGAAUGAGAAAUGGUUUUUGAAUAGCUUGGAAGUUGUCAUUUAGUAGUCUUGAUUCCUCUUUGUGGUAUGAUGAACCCAAUUCAAUAUCACUUGUAGAUACUGUGAUGAAUAUCUACAUCAAGACAAUGACAGAAGAUGGCAAUAAAGAAGUUGUUGCUCAAGCUUGUAUGAACACAACAGACAUCAUCAAGGAAUAUGAAUACAUCAUACAUGGCACUUGAGCCUUAUCAGUAUAAGUGUUUUUUCCCAUGUUUGUCUUGAACAAAAUAUGUUUUCUGAUGUAGGUUUUUGAGUUAUCAGUUAUAUUCAAUUUAUGUUAUCUGAUUCCAGAUAUCCCUAGGUAUUGAGGCAACUUUAAUAUUACCAUGAGAAGAUUUGGUUUGCCAGUAAGCUGAUUCUGAUAGUGAUAUUGAUGACAAUGGUUUUGAACAUGAUGAAGUGCUCAUGGAUGCAAUAUCUGAUCUCCUUCCUGCAUGCAAAAUCCAUGGGACCUCAUUUUAGUUCUGACCUCCUUCCUGCAUCAUGUUGAACAUGAUGAGCCUUUGAUGAAAUUUGCGCUAAGAUUGUUUUAGUGCUGACUAUGAGAAAUGUUUUUUGUUUAUCUUAAACCCUCGAUUUUUCCUUAGUCUCCAAUUGCAUGACCUAUCACCAUUUUGCCAUUGAUGAGUACAGAGAGCUUCACGCUCUCCACAAAAUCAUACCAUGGUGGUUUCCUGUCUUGCAGAAAUUGCCUAGGAAAUGGACUCUCCAAUUGCAGGCUAUGUUGAUGUAAGAAUUUUAUGUGAUAUGGGAAUUAUCUUUCAUCCCUUGCCUUUACAUCUCAGGUUACAUUGAACUUCAAGUGAACAAUUAUAACCUUAUCUUUCAUCCUUCUCUUUCUUGGGAGAGGGUUUCUGCUUUCGCCAAGUGCUCUUUGUUAGUAGGCACCCACUUCUGAUUUGAUUUGAAAUGAAAGCUAGUAGCUAGUUUGUAGGGCUAUAUGUUGGCAUUUACCUUCUUCCCUACCUACUCACUACCUCACUCACCUUCUCCAAAAGUAAUAAUAAAUCAUGCUGUUAAGUAGGCUAAAGAAAAAGAAAAAAAUAAUGUAUGUUUGCUAAGUUUGGUUGACUUUAUUUUUGAGUGGCUUUCACCAUUUUCUUUAAGCUGGAAUUUGUGAAACAUGUCCUUUCUUUAGACAGUGAUGGGUUGGAUGGUUAUGUUUAGGCAAAACCCACCAAGGGAGAAUUACUAAAAUCCUAGAUUUGAUGCAUAUCUGGACUCUUAGUUAACGAAUAGAAAACAAAUGCAAGACUCAGAUAUAGAGAUGGUGUUAAGGAUAUGAAUGUUAAUUGAAACUGCAUUUUUUUGGGACUAAAAGGGUUUAUGGGAAAACGAUUGAAUGUGGUUUAAAUCUUGACCUAGGCAAAACCCACUAAGGGAGAAUUACUGAAAUCCUAGACUUGAUGCAUAUCUGGACUCUUAGUUAACGAGUAGAAAACAAAUGCAAGACUCAGAUAUAGAGAUGGUGUUUGGUUUAGUAAUUAACCAAAGAUAUGAAUGUUAAUUGGAACUGCAUUUUUUUGGGACUAAAAGGGUUUAUGGGAAAACGAUUGAAUGUGGUUUAAAUCUUGACCUGGCAUGUCAUAGAACCAUACUGAGGGGUUAUGUAGACCAUGGACAUAUUGCAUAAGGAAUUUCCUUCUUUUAACAAAUUAAAGAGUCGGUGGAAGCAACUACAUUUAUUCUGAGUACAACUGUUCAUCUUUACAAAUCAGCAAGUGAAGACCUCAAAGCUGGCGGCAUUCUAGAUUCAAUGAAUAGGCUUGGAAUCUCAUUCCUAGAGAACCUUGAAGAAGUUGGAUCAAAGAUAAAAAUCGUGUGAGUUCUUUCUUGUAAGAAUACAAAGAUGAGAGCCAUUAAGCCACUAGAGAUUCAUCAAAAUGUCAAUGGGGAUACAGCAAAUGAAUCUGUGAAUGGAUUAAGGGAAAAGGAAAGCUAAAUUCUUGAUUAGGCAAAACAGGUAUUGGUGCGAUGAGAAUCUUGAUUACACUCUUGCCAGUGAUAAUAAUGGGAAGUAACAGCAGAAGCAAUUGAAAUAUCGGUGUCACCUCUUUCCUACAAUGUCACAUAAAGGUUCAACCAUUAUGUCAAGUGGAUUUGCAUGGGAAGAUGUGUUACAUUAUUCAAGAAAUUGAAUUUUUCUGAAGUCGUUGUAUUUUUUUAUACAUCAAUUGGAUAUUAUAUUUGAAC
Non-coding RNA from Nelumbo nucifera (sacred lotus), 2702 nucleotides. Lineage: Eukaryota; Viridiplantae; Streptophyta; Magnoliopsida; Proteales; Nelumbonaceae. The record is from RefSeq and is a predicted model, not a curated record.